GCGUGGAGACAGGUGGUGCAUGGCUGUCGUCAGCUCGUGUCGUGAGAUGUUGGGUUAAGUCCCGCAACGAGCGCAACCCUCACCCCUUGUUGCCAUCAGGUAAAGCUGGGCACUCUAGGGGAACUGCCCCGGUCAACGGGGAGGAAGGCGGGGAUGACGUCAAGUCAUCAUGCCCCUUACGUCCUGGGCUACACACGUGCUACAAUGGCCGGUACAAAGGGAUGCAACGCCGUGAGGCAGAGCCAAACCCAAAAAGCCGGUCUAAGUUCAGAUUGGAGUCUGCAACUCGACUCCAUGAAGGAGGAAUCGCUAGUAAUCGCGUAUCAGCACGACGCGGUGAAUACGUUCCCGGGCCUUGUACACACCGCCCGUCACACCACGAAAGCCAGCUGUACUCGAAGUCGCUGAG
This 409-nucleotide ribosomal RNA is filed under the name uncultured Methylomirabilota bacterium. RNAcentral's name for it is "bacterial SSU rRNA". It matches the Rfam family "Bacterial small subunit ribosomal RNA", at positions 1026 to 1434 of the family's 1533-position model. Lineage: Bacteria; Methylomirabilota (SeqCode). The record is from RNAcentral.